RNAcentral lists this ribosomal RNA (493 nucleotides) under Setophoma terrestris. RNAcentral's name for it is "eukaryotic LSU rRNA". The stretch from base 142 to 295 matches the Rfam family "5.8S ribosomal RNA". Lineage: Eukaryota; Fungi; Ascomycota; Dothideomycetes; Pleosporales; Phaeosphaeriaceae. The record is from RNAcentral.
AGUCGGGGGCUGCAAAGCCUUCGUCUACACCCAUGUCUUUUGCGUACUUCUUGUUUCCUCGGUGGCGCAAGCCGCCGAUUGGACAAACCAAAACCUUUUUUGUAAUUGCAAUCAGCGUCUGAAAAUAAUCUAAUUAUUUACAACUUUCAACAACGGAUCUCUUGGUUCUGGCAUCGAUGAAGAACGCAGCGAAAUGCGAUAAGUAGUGUGAAUUGCAGAAUUCAGUGAAUCAUCGAAUCUUUGAACGCACAUUGCGCCCCUUGGUAUUCCAUGGGGCAUGCCUGUUCGAGCGUCAUUUGUACCCUCAAGCUUUGCUUGGUGUUGGGCGUCUUGUCGUAUUACGACUCGCCUUAAAUACAUUGGCAGCCGGCACUUUGGCCUAGGAGCGCAGCACAUUUUGCGAUCGUAGCCCGUUGUACUGGCGUCCAUCAAGAACAUUUACCACGUUUGACCUCGGAUCAGGUAGGGAUACCCGCUGAACUUAAGCAUAUCA